GACGAACGCUGGCGGCGUGCUUAACACAUGCGAGUCGAACGGAAAGGCCCUGCUUUUGUGGGGUGCUCGAGUGGCGAACGGGUGAGUAACACGUGAGUAACCUGCCCUUGACUUUGGGAUAACUUCAGGAAACUGGGGCUAAUACCGGAUAGGAGCUCCUGCUGCAUGGUGGGGGUUGGAAAGUUUCGGCGGUUGGGGAUGGACUCGCGGCUUAUCAGCUUGUUGGUGGGGUAGUGGCUUACCAAGGCUUUGACGGGUAGCCGGCCUGAGAGGGUGACCGGCCACAUUGGUACUGAGAUACGGCCCAGACUCCUACGGGAGGCAGCAGUGGGGAAUAUUGCACAAUGGGCGGAAGCCUGAUGCAGCAACGCCGCGUGCGGGAUGACGGCCUUCGGGUUGUAAACCGCUUUCGCCUGUGACGAAGCGUGAGUGACGGUAAUGGGUAAAGAAGCACCGGCUAGCUACGUG
RNAcentral lists this ribosomal RNA (468 nucleotides) under uncultured bacterium. RNAcentral's name for it is "partial 16S ribosomal RNA". It matches the Rfam family "Bacterial small subunit ribosomal RNA", at positions 28 to 507 of the family's 1533-position model. The record is from RNAcentral.